Molecule: ribosomal RNA, 644 nt
Filed under: Myrmicinosporidium durum
Lineage: Eukaryota; Fungi; Blastocladiomycota
Description: partial large subunit ribosomal RNA
Source: RNAcentral
AUUUGAAAUCUCUGGUGYAAACCAGCGAGUUGUAAUUUGGAGAAAUGUGUGUCCAGAGUAUCUUUACUAUUCAAGUCCAUUGGAACAUGGCGUACUUUUGUACUCUUAGUCAUAGAGGGUGAAAACCCCGUGGGUAAUGGUAACUGAUGCCCGAAUGUGUCCACAUUUCAAAGAGUCGGAUUGUUUGGGAUUGCAAUCCAAAAUGGGUGGUAAACUCCAUCCAAGGCUAAAUWUCUGCAAGAGACCGAUMGCGAACAAGUACCGUGAGGGAAAGAUGAAAAGAACUCUGAASAGAGAGUUCAACASUMCGUGAAAUUGCUGAAAGGGAAAUGCUUAGAAUGAUUGUUGUUUUUUAAAAGGUCAUCUYUCGGGGUGCUCCCUUUUUUUAAGCAGGUCAGCWUCAGUUUUUUUAASAAAAGACACUUUAAAGGGAGGUUUCUUUUUAUUUCGGUAAGAAGAGUUAUAACCUUUAUUUUGUACUUCUUAAAAAGACUGAGGUAUGCUACUGYUGACGGUUUUAAAAGCUUUCUUUCUUGYWAUAAGAUGGCCUUAAGGUUUCUUAAGACUUUUUGCUACAAGGAAAAAACUCUUUUAAGGCCAAAACAUGUAUUGGAUGCUGACAAAAUGAUUCUAAUCGACCCGUC